CUUUGACCGCGAAGCAGACAGACAAACAAACAAAAUGGCAGAGGAGAGGAAUUCAUUUAUCCGGUGGAGAUACGCACACUAUUUUAACUAUGUCACCCAAAAAGACAAAAACGUGGUCGUGGAGUGUAAGCUUUGCGUGGGCAGCAAACGUUUGUCAACGGCAGCCAGCUCAUCCUCCAACCUUUUGAAACAUUUGCAGCGUCAACACUCAACUGUUAAGCUUGUCGCUGAAGAGCAACACAGCGAGGCUGCCGCCUCCGACACACCGACACGAUACAAGCAACCUCGUCUUGAAUUACGCUGUCAGGUUUCCCAGAGACUAUGGGUUGAGGAGGAAGUAGAAGUUUGUCAGCUUAGACCUAGUGUCAUUCCAUCAGUGUUAAACUUCCCGGCUAAUCUUGGAAGAGUACGUGCCAGAAAGACCACGACCAAGCAGCCUUGAGAUCUUAGGCAGCGUCUCCCUGAGACCAAAGAACUACAGACUCUUCACAACCUGCUCAAACUCUUGGUACAGGACCUCACCACAUGGGUCAAGAAGGUUUCCGUCUCAUUUCUACUCUGAAGCUCACCUUCUCCUGCUCAAACUGCUGAUAAAUGUUUCUGCUGCUCUGAAGUCUGGUCUCCAGAACUUCCUAAAAACUCUCAAAGUCUCUUCUGCUGCAGGUUGCUUUGUAGAACUGUUGCAGAAAACCUCACUAAACCACAUGGAGGGGCCUCAAGAUAGUCAUCCAAAUGAAACCGUACAAAAACCAAACUAGCACAACCCAAACGCUAAAGUCUCCUGCAGCCUACCAGAGAACCUCUGAGAACAGAGAAUCAGGACAGGAACUCUUACCUUCUGGACAACCAACGCUGGUUCACAAACAAGAAUACAGAAUGUGUCUGACCAAAAACCUCUGAAGACUCACUACAGCCAAG
Amphiprion ocellaris (clown anemonefish) is the source of this 918-nucleotide long non-coding RNA. NCBI's taxonomy places the organism in Eukaryota, Metazoa, Chordata, Actinopteri, Pomacentridae. The record is from Ensembl.